This 488-nucleotide ribosomal RNA is filed under the name uncultured bacterium. RNAcentral describes it as "partial 16S ribosomal RNA". It matches the Rfam family "Bacterial small subunit ribosomal RNA", at positions 28 to 507 of the family's 1533-position model. The record is from RNAcentral.
GAUGAACGCUAGCGGCAGGCUUAACACAUGCAAGUCGAGGGGCAGCAUAAUGGAUAGCAAUAUCUAUGGUGGCGACCGGCGCACGGGUGCGUAACGCGUAUGCAACCUACCUUUAUCAGGGGGAUAACACUGAGAAAUUGGUACUAAUACCCCAUAAUAUCAUAGAAGGCAUCUUUUAUGGUUGAAAAUUCCGAUGGUUAGAGAUGGGCAUGCGUUGUAUUAGCUAGUUGGUGGGGUAACGGCUCACCAAGGCGACGAUACAUAGGGGGACUGAGAGGUUAACCCCCCACACUGGUACUGAGACACGGACCAGACUCCUACGGGAGGCAGCAGUGAGGAAUAUUGGUCAAUGGACGCAAGUCUGAACCAGCCAUGCCGCGUGCAGGAUGACGGCUCUAUGAGUUGUAAACUGCUUUUGUACGAGGGUAAACGCAGAUACGUGUAUCUGUCUGAAAGUAUCGUACGAAUAAGGAUCGGCUAACUCCGUG